This 4931-nucleotide long non-coding RNA is filed under the name Triticum aestivum (bread wheat). RNAcentral's name for it is "long non-coding RNA (TAES_LNC003835)". Lineage: Eukaryota; Viridiplantae; Streptophyta; Magnoliopsida; Poales; Poaceae. The record is from RNAcentral.
UAUUAUUGCCCUGCUACUAAUACUAAUUUUCCAAAAAAACAUUGAAUGUGUAAAAAUAAUCUUUUAGUUGGAGUAAAAAAUCUUGCCAAAGUUAAUUGGGUGGCCUAUUAACCCGAAAUACUUAACUUAAUCACAACAGAAAUGAAGUGCCGACAACACAAAUGUGGCCUCCUUGUUGGAUUAUUCAUUAGUAAGAAUUGUUCUGGUUCCUAAAUCUAUGUUAGGUAGGAUGGAUACAACCAUUAUUCUUGAAGGUGCAUAUCCAAAAUCAAGUAAAAACAAUAUUUCAAAUGAUGGCCCAAACAACCAUCUAACUUUAUGUUAGGAAAGUCAUAAACUACACAUCAUUCUGAUUUAGAAGUCAUAUAAUACCUUUUGGUCCUCAGAGCCAUUCUUCUCUUUUCUUUCCUUGUCGUGAAGUGCGGUAUAAACUUUGAAGUACCAAGAGCUGCAAAUUGAACUCAGAAGUCAAAAUAGGUCGUACGAACAAAACAAAAUAAACCUUUAUCUAUAAUGAAAGUUGAGUGCAAAACUACUAUACAGUAAAGCCAUGGAAUUUCAAAUAUAAGCCGGGAUGGGGAGAUGCGAUGUAGAGAAACAUAGCUAAAUAUAAGAAUGAAGCACUUAGGCUUGCGAAACACUGAACAACAUUGCCCUAAGGAUCAGAUCAAGUUCUUUGCUAACUGGUCACUCACAUGCUCUUCUUGGCCAUUCUCUGGAUUUAUGGAGAAGAUCCCUUGAACCUAAGAAUGCAAAAUGAGAAAAAUCAUGUUGAUUCAGACCUUAUUGAUAUACAAAAGGAGAAAUCUAUGUAUUUUGACUUUCUCUACGAUUCUAUAUUUGAACUACCUAUGAAGAAAGCUUUCGUUUACCAAACAAAUACACCUUUUGUGUGUCGCUGCUUAUUUGAAUCUUACACUUAGUCACCUUCAAAUAUCAAUUUGUCUUCUAGCUAGUUAAGUGUGCAUAUUGAAUCUUGAAGUAUAUAAUUCCACAGAUAAAAAAUUACCCCAAAUCAUAAAUCAAAGUAUAUAAUUCCAAAGGCUGAAACCCUAAAUCAAAGUCAUAUACAAUUCCGCAGACACUAAAAUAUCUAAACUCCCUUUAAUUCACCAUAUAUAAUUCCGCAGAUAAAAAAAUGACUCCAAAUCAUAAAAGGAAAUCAAUGAGAAAUUCAUGAAAGGCAGCAAAAAAAAUGAUAAGAAAAUACUGUUGUAGAUCAUAUUGGAGUUUUAGCCGCUGAUACUGACCUUUUCAACACUUCUUGUAUCAUGCCCUUGCUCAUGAACCUCUCCGCCAUUGUCUUUACUUGGAGGACCGAUCUUCCCUGCAGCAACAUCAUCCUGAAAGUCACAACCAAAACAUAUCAUAACCAAGCAACAAUCUCAUAGUCGAUCAGUGAUCAUUUAUGUUGCAGAUCUUUGCUGCAUUCCCACCACUCAAGGGGCGUCAUUCAUUAUACUACCAACAUCCUCCUGCAGUGAACAACCAAAUUAGAAAAACAGUGGUCUCGUGAUUAUUCAAGGAGCCAUUUUUCUCAAAACCAACACCCCCUGAAAUCAAUAACCAAACCAGACUAACUAACCAGCAAUCCCACCAAACAUCAAUAACCACAAUUUUCACACCUUCACUGCAUCUGCGCCGUCAUUAUCUAGUGUCAACAUUCCCCCGCAAUCAAUAAUUUUACUACUCAGGCGGUCUCGUUGGUGGGCAACCUGCAGAAGCGAAUAGCUUGAGAACCUUUGCAUCUGCGCCGUCAUUAUCUAGUGUCAACAUUCCCCCGCAAUCAAUAAUUUUACUACUCAGGCGGUCUCGUUGGUGGGCAACCUGCAGAAGCGAAUAGCUUGAGAACCUUUGCCUCCUGAGCGGUGGCGCCCUCGCCCUCCCUGGCCAGGAGGCCUGUCCGAGGCAUGCCGCGGGGGUUGAUGACGAUGCUGGGCAGCCGCUCGAUGUCCCAGCCGAGCACGCUGCAUAUAACAGACCCAACACGCUCAGAGGCAAAGAACAAAGGGAAAAGUGAGAGAGCAAUGAGGAGGCACCUGAGGUGAGGCGAGGCCAGUGACGGGCAACGGCGAUGACACUCUGACCUUGAUCCAGUCACGAGAAACCCCGAUCCACCAGCGCCUUGUGCUUCCCCGUGGAUGACGCCCAGCUUCCUCCCGUCGACGGCGCGACGAUCCACUGCUCCGCUGGCUCGUGCUCCUCCUCGCCGCGUCUCCUCCGCGUGCGGCGCCGACGGACUCCGGACGCAUCUAGGCCAGACGGCGACAGAGACGGGCGGCACAGAGGAGAGGAGGAGGACGGGCGGCGGCGACACAGAGGAGGAGGAAGACGGGCAACGGCAGUGCAGAGGAGAGGAGGAGGAUGGGCAGCGGUGCCGCAGAGGAGAGGAGGAGGACGGGUGGCGGCGGCUCAGAGGAGAGGAGGAGGUAGGGUUACGGGAGGGGAAGCCGCGAGGGGAGGACGGAGCGGAGCUGCGCGUGUGCGGGAGGUGGCUUGCUGCACUUAUAUGCCACCAGGUGAAAUGACGAAAUUACCCUUAGCGGGCCACCAAAUUUACAGGCGGUGGCAUGACGACCCCGAUUAAAUGACUAAAAUACCCUGGUGCUCUGUUUGUAAAGCGUCCCUAAAGCGUCGCUUAAGCGACGCUUAAGCGUUAGAGCGCCCUCCAGGCUCAAAGCGUCCAACUCGCUUUAGACAUGUGUCUAAGGCGUCCGCCUUAGACACUAAAGCGUCUGAAGCGCCUGCUUAGGCAUCCUGAUUGGCGCUUUAAGGCAGAGAGGACGCCUUAGACUUGCCAGGCAGGGUACAGAGAUUCCUGGCAGGGAAACAGGGCUGGGCUCACAUUUGAAACAGUUACAGGAGGGGAAAGAAAGAGAGAGAACCAAAACCAGAGCGUGCAAAUAUCCAGGCUUUCAGCUCUUUCCUCUCUCCUCUGGCAGCAGCUUCCUCAGAUCUGCACCAGCCUUUUCUGCUCUGUUGUGUGUUAUGCUAUGCACAACUCCUCUGCUGUUAGGUGCUACUGCCUCUCUUAUAGCAAUUGGCUAGUUGCUUGCUGCUUAGUGGAUGGAUCAGAAUAUAUGGGCUCACUGGUGGAUUAGAAUCAACAUAUAUAUGUCUCACUAAAUGGUGCUCUAUUAUACUGCCCAUCAGGUUCAGAGUCUGUCUAAAGCGUCGCCUCGCUUUACGCUUUAUCGCUUAAGCAGUGAGGCGCCCCCCUAGCGCCUCGCUUCGCUUUACCGCUUUAUAAACAUAGCCCUGGUGUGGGCAAAGAUAUUACAUUCUGAUGCAAUUGAAAUUUUAUCCGACGGCCGAAGUUGAUCCGGUAAAUAUCCAACGACCCACAGCGAUUUGGAUCGAGAUCCGACAGUCUGUGUCGCGAGGAGAUUCCGAUCCGACGGCUGAAAAUCCAAACGCCUGAGGAGGCUCCAUUUCGGUUCUGACUCUAACAAGGGUAAGCAAAAAAUCUUGCCAAAGUUAAUUGGGUGGCCUAUUAACCCGAAAUACUUAACUUAAUCACAACAGAAAUGAAGUGCCAACAACACAAAUGUGGCCUCCUUGUUGGAUUAUUCAUUAGUAAGAAUUGUUUUGGUUCCUAAAUCUAUGUUAGAUAGGAUGGAUACAACCAUUAUUCUUGAAGGUGCAUAUGCAAAAUCAAGUAAAAAUAAUAUUUCAAAUGAUGGCCCAAACAACCAUCCAACUUUAUGUUAGGAAAGUCAUAAACUACACAUCAUUCUGAUUUAGAAGUCAUAUAAUACCUUUUGGUCCUCAGAGCCAUUCUUCUCUUUUCUUUCCUUGUCGUGAAGUGCGGUAUAAACUUUGAAGUACCAAGAGCUGCAAAUUGAACUCAGAAGUCAAAAUAGGUCGUAUAAACAAAACAAAACAAACCUUUAUCUAUAAUGAAAGUUGAGUGCAAAACUACUAUACAGUAAAGCCAUGGAAUUUCAAAUAUAAGCCGGGAUGGGGAGAUGGGAUGUAGAGAAACAUAGCUAAAUAUAAGAAUGAAGCACUUAGGCUUGCGAAACACUGAACAACAUUGCCCUAAGGAUCAGAUCAAGUUCUUUGCUCAACUGGUCACUCACAUGCUCUUCUUGGUCAUUCUCUGGAUUUAUGGAGAAGAUCCCUUGAACCUAAGAAUGCAAAAUGAGAAAAAUCAUGUUGAUUCAGACCUUAUUGAUAUACAAAAGGAGAAAUCUAUGUAUUUUGACUUUCUCUAAGAUUCUAUAUUUGAACUACCUAUGAAGAAAGCUUUCGUUUACCAAACAAAGACACCUUUUGUGUGUCGCUGCUUAUUUGAAUCUUACACUUAGUCACCUUCAAAUAUCAAUUUGUCUUCUAGCUAGUUAAGUGUGCAUAUUGAAUCUUGAAGUAUAUAAUUCCACAGAUAAAAAAUUACCCCAAAUCAUAAAUCAAAGUAUAUAAUUCCGAAGGCUGAAACCCUAAAUCCAAGUCAUAUACAAUUCCGCAGACACUCAAAUAUCUAAACUCCCUUUAAUUCACCAUAUAUAAUUCCGCAGAUAAAAAAAUGACUCCAAAUCAUAAAAGGAAAUCAAUGAGAAAUUCAUGAAAGGCAGCAAAAAAAUGAUAAGAAAAUACUGUUGUAGAACAUAUUGGAGUUUUAGCCGCUGGUACUGACCUUUUCAACACUUCUUGUAUCAUGCCCUUGCUCAUGAACCUCUCCGCCAUUGUCUUUAGUUGGAGGACCGAUCUUCCCUGCAGCAACAUCAUCGUGAAAGUCGCAACCAAAACAGAUCAUAACCAAGCAACAAUCUCAUAGUCGAUCAGUGAUCAUCUAUGUUGCAGACCUUUGCUGCAUUCCCACCACUCAAGGGGAAGUCAUUCAUUAUACUACCAACAUCCUCCUGCAAUGAACAACCAAAUUAGAAAAACAGUGGUCUCCUGAUUAUUCAAGGAGCCAUUUUUCUCAAAAC